GUGCUUGGUUCAGCAGCACAUAUACUGAAAUUGGAACAAUACAGAGAAGAUUAGCACGGCCCCUGCACAAGGAUAACAUGCAAAACUAUGAGAUGGAGAGGGGAGAUUU
Heteronotia binoei (common prickly gecko) is the source of this 109-nucleotide small nuclear RNA. The record is from RefSeq and is a predicted model, not a curated record. NCBI's taxonomy places the organism in Eukaryota, Metazoa, Chordata, Lepidosauria, Squamata, Gekkonidae.